AUGGGUGUGCAAGUUGACAGU
This 21-nucleotide non-coding RNA is filed under the name Rattus norvegicus (Norway rat). Lineage: Eukaryota; Metazoa; Chordata; Mammalia; Rodentia; Muridae. The record is from RNAcentral.